Non-coding RNA from Parasteatoda tepidariorum (common house spider), 158 nucleotides. NCBI's taxonomy places the organism in Eukaryota, Metazoa, Arthropoda, Arachnida, Araneae, Theridiidae. The record is from RefSeq and is a predicted model, not a curated record.
UGAUACUAAUGUUGGAAAAGCAGUUAGUGAUCAUUUCAGUGGAGACCCUUUAGGAAGUGCUUUUAAUGUAACUGCAUCACAAUAAAAAAAAAGUUAUCCAUUCUCUGGAAGUGAUCCAUUUGGGGGAUUUGAUACCGCUUCUACCCCUACAGACCCUG